CAUUACCAAACAUGAGUAACUUUAUGGCCAAUUUUAUCUCUUGGGAAUAAAAUAUGAGUAAUUUUGUGGCCAAAUAUUUGCAGAGUUGCAUUACCAAAUUUGAGUGUUGUGGUUAUGAACUCUGCAUUUUAACAUAAAAUUCCACUGUUUAUUGUACUUGGAGAAGAUCUGACUUGUAGUAUCUGGAUGUGUAGUUUAAUCAAUAAACCCAAUAUCUCUUAAGCUGUCAUUUGAUUUAGGUAACUAUUGUUCCACGGGAGGAAAAAUACAUUCCUUCUCUAAUCAUCUCUUUCAGUAAUAGUCUCAACUAUAGACAAUGAUUCGUCCAUUAUUGAGUGUUGCCAAAUUUGCUUCUGUUGUGGGGUUUGAAUGAUAAACUUUUAUUGAUAUGAUGUUUAAUUAACUUUUAGUUAAAUUAUAUAUUUAUUUAUUUAUUAUGUGUAUAAAAAAACAGAUUAUGCAUAUUCAAAUAUUAAAAAACAGUCUUAAUCAUUCAAUGUUAAAAUCUGGAGUCAACGUCUUAAUCAUUUAGAUUGAGACAUCUUAAUCUUAACGGGAAAAAAGGAGGCCUUAGUUUUUGGAAUUGGUUAUGUGAAUCUUCAAUGUCCAUUUCACUCCAUUUUUACACGUUCUAUGCCAAUACUUAAUUGUGUUGGUUUCACGAAUGCUAAUGGUUUUUGACAUCUUUAACUGAUAUACAAUUAACUGUUGACCUCAAUUCUUGAGCUCUCCUGGCAGUUUCUGUUUAAGGAAUUUCCCAUGGUAUUGGUUUCUUUAUUGGUAUGUACAUGAGAACAUUAUGUUGUGCUCCAAACAUAAUAAUGUGAUUUGAAUUGUCAACUGCAGUUAUCAUUAUCAGCUUCAAAGCUACGGGACCGUGAUAUAGUUUCUAAG
RNAcentral lists this long non-coding RNA (894 nucleotides) under Solanum tuberosum (potato). Its description in RNAcentral is "long non-coding RNA (STUB_LNC009959)". The record is from RNAcentral. Lineage: Eukaryota; Viridiplantae; Streptophyta; Magnoliopsida; Solanales; Solanaceae.